UGGGGAAUAUUGCACAAUGGGCGCAAGCCUGAUGCAGCCAUGCCGCGUGUAUGAAGAAGGCCUUCGGGUUGUAAAGUACUUUCAGUCGGGAGGAAGGUGGUAAGGUUAAUAACCUUAUCAAUUGACGUUACCGACAGAAGAAGCACCGGCUAACUCCGUGCCAGCAGCCGCGGUAAUACGGAGGGUGCAAGCGUUAAUCGGAAUUACUGGGCGUAAAGCGCACGCAGGCGGUCUGUCAAGUCGGAUGUGAAAUCCCCGGGCUCAACCUGGGAACUGCAUCUGAUACUGGCAAGCUUGAGUCUCGUAGAGGGGGGUAGAAUUCCAGGUGUAGCGGUGAAAUGCGUAGAGAUCUGGAGGAAUACCGGUGGCGAAGGCGGCCCCCUGGACGAAGACUGACGCUCAGGUGCGAAAGCGUGGGGAGCAAACAGG
RNAcentral lists this ribosomal RNA (429 nucleotides) under Chloroflexota bacterium. Its description in RNAcentral is "Chloroflexi bacterium partial 16S ribosomal RNA". It matches the Rfam family "Bacterial small subunit ribosomal RNA", at positions 355 to 776 of the family's 1533-position model. Lineage: Bacteria; Bacillati; Chloroflexota. The record is from RNAcentral.